ACUAACAUGAUAAACAUAUUUUUUUUUCACUGAGUAAAAACCAGUUCUCUAACUAACUCUGACGUCAACCAAACUAUUUGUUUAACACAUGUUAUUAGCAUAACAACGUUAUAUGACUUAUAAAAUAAAAGACGAACGGAUGACUGGCACAUUAUCUAUUGAGACAUUAUUGUAACCAGACGUUUUAAAAAUGGCGUCUUAUUUGGUUCCUAUAUGUUUUUUGUUUGUGGUGUUAACAAUUGUUUCUUCUGCACCACCGGAUGAUAAACCUUUGGAUUGCCCAGAAAACGAAGAAUACUAUUACUGCAAGCUAUUUCGUUGUCAGAGAAGUUGUGAUGACUUUAAGGAACAAACUCCAUGUCUUCCUCUAUUACCAGGGUGUCAUCUGCCAGCAUGUGAAUGCGUGAGCGACUACUAUAGGAAUAAGGAUGGCAAAUGUGUGCCAGAAGCGGAAUGCUAAAGGCAAAAAAAUGAAAUAAAAGGCUAGAAAUAAUUUUUAAUAA
RNA transcript from Helicoverpa armigera (cotton bollworm), 503 nucleotides. RefSeq lists it as uncharacterized. The record is from RefSeq and is a predicted model, not a curated record. The transcript has 2 exons. Lineage: Eukaryota; Metazoa; Arthropoda; Insecta; Lepidoptera; Noctuidae.